AAAUUGAAGAGUUUGAUCAUGGCUCAGAUUGAACGCUGGCGGCAGGCCUAACACAUGCAAGUCGAACGGUAACAGGAAGCAGCUUGCUGCUUCGCUGACGAGUGGCGGACGGGUGAGUAAUGUCUGGGAAACUGCCUGAUGGAGGGGGAUAACUACUGGAAACGGUGGCUAAUACCGCAUAACGUCGCAAGACCAAAGAGGGGGACCUUCGGGCCUCUUGCCAUCAGAUGUGCCCAGAUGGGAUUAGCUAGUUGGUGAGGUAACGGCUCACCAAGGCGACGAUCCCUAGCUGGUCUGAGAGGAUGACCAGCCACACUGGAACUGAGACACGGUCCAGACUCCUACGGGAGGCAGCAGUGGGGAAUAUUGCACAAUGGGCGCAAGCCUGAUGCAGCCAUGCCGCGUGUAUGAAGAAGGCCUUCGGGUUGUAAAGUACUUUCAGCGGGGAGGAAGGUGUUGUGGUUAAUAACCGCAGCAAUUGACGUUACCCGCAGAAGAAGCACCGGCUAACUCCGUGCCAGCAGCCGCGGUAAUACGGAGGGUGCAAGCGUUAAUCGGAAUUACUGGGCGUAAAGCGCACGCAGGCGGUCUGUCAAGUCGGAUGUGAAAUCCCCGGGCUCAACCUGGGAACUGCAUUCGAAACUGGCAGGCUUGAGUCUUGUAGAGGGGGGUAGAAUUCCAGGUGUAGCGGUGAAAUGCGUAGAGAUCUGGAGGAAUACCGGUGGCGAAGGCGGCCCCCUGGACAAAGACUGACGCUCAGGUGCGAAAGCGUGGGGAGCAAACAGGAUUAGAUACCCUGGUAGUCCACGCCGUAAACGAUGUCUACUUGGAGGUUGUGCCCUUGAGGCGUGGCUUCCGGAGCUAACGCGUUAAGUAGACCGCCUGGGGAGUACGGCCGCAAGGUUAAAACUCAAAUGAAUUGACGGGGGCCCGCACAAGCGGUGGAGCAUGUGGUUUAAUUCGAUGCAACGCGAAGAACCUUACCUGGUCUUGACAUCCACAGAACUUUCCAGAGAUGGAUUGGUGCCUUCGGGAACUGUGAGACAGGUGCUGCAUGGCUGUCGUCAGCUCGUGUUGUGAAAUGUUGGGUUAAGUCCCGCAACGAGCGCAACCCUUAUCCUUUGUUGCCAGCGGUCCGGCCGGGAACUCAAAGGAGACUGCCAGUGAUAAACUGGAGGAAGGUGGGGAUGACGUCAAGUCAUCAUGGCCCUUACGACCAGGGCUACACACGUGCUACAAUGGCGCAUACAAAGAGAAGCGACCUCGCGAGAGCAAGCGGACCUCAUAAAGUGCGUCGUAGUCCGGAUUGGAGUCUGCAACUCGACUCCAUGAAGUCGGAAUCGCUAGUAAUCGUGGAUCAGAAUGCCACGGUGAAUACGUUCCCGGGCCUUGUACACACCGCCCGUCACACCAUGGGAGUGGGUUGCAAAAGAAGUAGGUAGCUUAACCUUCGGGAGGGCGCUUACCACUUUGUGAUUCAUGACUGGGGUGAAGUCGUAACAAGGUAACCGUAGGGGAACCUGCGGUUGGAUCACCUCCUUACCUU
This 1546-nucleotide ribosomal RNA is filed under the name Salmonella enterica subsp. enterica serovar Paratyphi C. RNAcentral describes it as "bacterial SSU rRNA". It matches the Rfam family "Bacterial small subunit ribosomal RNA". Lineage: Bacteria; Pseudomonadati; Pseudomonadota; Gammaproteobacteria; Enterobacterales; Enterobacteriaceae. The record is from RNAcentral.